Molecule: long non-coding RNA, 1692 nt
Organism: Lepidothrix coronata (blue-crowned manakin)
Lineage: Eukaryota; Metazoa; Chordata; Aves; Passeriformes; Pipridae
Source: Ensembl
CUGCAGAAUUUGGUAAUGUUGGCCUAUCACAGUAAAUACUCUCUUAAACAUGUUUUUCUUAUUUCCAGUCAUCUUGGCAGCUUGGAAGAAAGGAGUCGUUGCUGCAUUGGUCCUGAUAACCAUUGCAGGAGCGGGAGCACUUGCCUUAUGGUGGUUUUUGCGUAAGAAGAAAAAGGCUAAAGGACCAUCCAUGGAGAUGUCUGGUUCAGCCUUGGCUGCAAACUUGACAAGUGAAAAACUGGCAAGACAGCCCAAUGAUGGAGACUAUUAUUCAGGACCUGACCUUGAGAGUGCUGAGGUGGAGUACACUGAAGUUGAAGUAUCAACGCUUGAUCCUCACAGAGAUUCUAUGGAAAACAGGCAUUCUAGAAUAUCAGGGCAUCCUGAUGCUACUUAGAACAGUCAUCUCAAAGAUCAGCUGGGAGAAGAAAACAAGCCAAGAUGGAAGAUGUUGCAAAUGUUUCAAAGGCUCUGCAGCAGUUAUUUAUGAGUUUGCCAGACUCUUCUUUUCAAAGUUUAUUUCCUUAGCGGGAACAAUAGAGAUGUUCCUAAAGCAUUUAAUGGAAAAAAUUGAGAAUAAAAAUUCUCAUAGGAAAGUGGCUCUAGAAACCACUGACCCAGGUUCUCAUUUUUAUUUUCUCCUGCUAAUGCAAUUUUGCCUUUUUUUUUGCCUCCAAUUCAUCAUUCUCUGAGGAAACAAAAGGGGAAGUUAGAGCUGAGGAAGCACAUUUCUACAGUGCAGUGACUACUGGGAUGCCAGUAGGACAUAGAAAUAUCUAAGCUUGCUUUGAACUUGCUACCUUGGUUAUCAGUGACACUUCUGUGGCAGAGCAGAGCUCAGCACAGCUUGGCCAGCCAUGGAUGUACUUUCUGAUCCUGCAGCUUGUGCUGAACUCCCUGUGCUGCAGCAGCUGGACUGCUACCAGGCUUGGAGCCAGCUCACUUAUAGCCCUGGGGAUGCUUCACUGCAGGGAGGGCCUGACAGAAGAGAGAACUCUGGGUGCUCGAAAAACUUAAAUAACUGUUGGGAGAUUCAGACUUUACCAAGUGCUUCUGUCAGGAGGGGCACAAAUAGUCUUUAUUCUUUGCUAAACUGCUUUUCCCCUUUAAAAGGUCUGGUGCUUGUUGGUUAGUUUGGUGUGAUGGUUCUUCAAGAAAUGAUUGUCCAUCACAGUUGUUUUGGAUGAUUCUAUGAUAGGUCUUCAGGGAGUGGAUAUACUGCACCCAGGUCAGUGAGUUUAUACCUGAAAAUCCUGUUAUGUAUAAUCCUUAUUCCUUUGAUUUUAGGAGCGAUCUGAAGUCAUACUUGUGCCCAGUUUCUCCAGUAUGGAACUCCAUACCUAACCUUUUUCUGUAUAGCAUGAUAAACCACUAACAUGGAUCCAGUCUGGACCUGGAUCUAAUCUCUGCAGCCCAUGUUUAUCUCAGCUGCAUUAGUUUAAAAAAAGAACAUAAAACAAACCAGAAAAAAUGCUGUCCCUAGCCCCGUAACCAGCUGGCCUUUGGCACUGCAAUUGCUCUCCUUUUCUUACUGCAGAUUAAAUUACUACAAGAUCUGGGCCACAGGUAAGAAAGUUCUCAUUUUCAUUAGAAAAUAGUGAAAGAGAGGCCGUGGAUUGUGUAUACAUACAUAGUUACUGCUAUAAGCAUUGCAUCAAGGGUGCAAAACAACCACAAAACACAAAAGGGUUU